GAAACUGGUGGUCUUCUCAUAAACCACAUGGUUCAUGAAAGUGAAAGUGAAUCAAACAAAAAGCAGCUGUAUAAAAGGACUACGUUCUCUUUCAGCAGGAUAACUGGAUGCUCCUCUCUGCUGUGGCACCUCCCCAGUAAAGUUCUCCUUUUCUAGCCAUGGGAGGCAGUGACUCAAGAGAAAAGUCUUCUUCUACUUCCUCAAAUGACUGUCUCUGUGUUACUCUCUAGAACCUCCUACUCCACCCCCUACUCC
Seriola dumerili (greater amberjack) is the source of this 255-nucleotide long non-coding RNA. RefSeq lists it as uncharacterized. The transcript has 3 exons. The record is from RefSeq and is a predicted model, not a curated record. NCBI's taxonomy places the organism in Eukaryota, Metazoa, Chordata, Actinopteri, Carangiformes, Carangidae.